AAAAUUAACAUUAUAUAUGAAUAAUCAUGCAUGAUGACAGGGUUUUGCAGAACAAUCUUCAUAUGGUCACAUUAUUGAUGAUAUCCUCCAUGAUUCGUCCCAGCUAAGUUUUAGAGUUAUUGGUACAUCCGCUGAUGGGAGGGAAUUGUUGGAGGCAUUGAAGGAUGUUGAAGACCAUUUUAUCAGAGCUUAAGAUUCUGGUUUGGAAGUUUCUAGGAUGCUGGAGGCCAAUAGAUUUCCAAUGUUGUCUGGUUUGGAGGAAAUAAAAGUCUUGAAGGUGAUUCGUCAGAUUGAGAAAUGCACCAGAUUGCGGGAAUGAUCAUCUACUAACACUUCCGAAAGGGUCAUUGAAUGAUCACUGGGUAUCAGUGACUUCUAGAAGUGAGGAGUAUUGUCUUAAACAUAUGCAUAGAAAUCAGUAUGAAGAAAGUCUAUUCAGAUGAGAAGAUGAUAGGUAAAAGACUUGAUAGAAGCCUUCAUCAGUUGUGAAUUUUCUUGCUAUUUGUUAAUAUUUAAUUUAAUAAGGUUUUUUUUGUGUGUUUCUUUAUAUCUUCAUUUGACUUUUAUGGCGCUAACAUGUUAUUCUAGUUGAUUAGGAGUUUAAAGAUAAGGUUUUGAGAUCUGAUGUAGUUUUUUCAUGGCGCUUACUGAUUAUUCCAUUUUCUUUGUAAUACAUUAUCAGCUAUUGGCAAUUAUGAGAUUGAUUUUUCCCUCUCUAGAGUGGAGCUUGAUAA
This is a long non-coding RNA of Quercus robur (English oak), 734 nucleotides long. RefSeq lists it as uncharacterized. NCBI's taxonomy places the organism in Eukaryota, Viridiplantae, Streptophyta, Magnoliopsida, Fagales, Fagaceae. The transcript has 2 exons. The record is from RefSeq and is a predicted model, not a curated record.